This 460-nucleotide ribosomal RNA is filed under the name uncultured bacterium. Its description in RNAcentral is "bacterial SSU rRNA". It matches the Rfam family "Bacterial small subunit ribosomal RNA", at positions 339 to 791 of the family's 1533-position model. The record is from RNAcentral.
CUACGGAAGGCAGCAGCUAAGAAUAUUCCGCAAUGGACGAAAGUCUGACGGAGCGACGCCGCGUGGAUGACGAAGGCCGAAAGGUUGUAAAGUCCUUUUGUUGGGGAAGAAUAACCAUGGGAGGGAAUGCCCGUGGGAUGACAUGAACCGACGAAUAAGCCCCGGCUAACUACGUGCCAGCAGCCGCGGUAACACGUAGGGGGCGAGCGUUGUUCGGAAUUACUGGGCGUAAAGGGCAUGUAGGCGGCUCUAUAAGCCCGGCGUGGAAGCCCAUGGCUCAACCGUGGGAUUGCGCUGGGAACUGCAGGGCUUGAAUCAUGGAGAGGGAGCUAGAAUUCCUGGUGUAGGGGUGAAAUCUGUAGAGAUCAGGAAGAAUACCAGUGGCGAAGGCGAGCUCCUGGCCAAUGAUUGACGCUGAGGUGCGAAAGUGUGGGGAUCAAACAGGAUUAGAUACCCCGGU